RNAcentral lists this long non-coding RNA (542 nucleotides) under Brassica napus (rape). Its description in RNAcentral is "long non-coding RNA (BNAP_LNC014445)". The record is from RNAcentral. Lineage: Eukaryota; Viridiplantae; Streptophyta; Magnoliopsida; Brassicales; Brassicaceae.
UCGUGUCAACAUUGUUGGGCAUGUUGCAAAAUUGACGUAGUCUACAGCCAAUAACGUGUAUUUUCUUAUAAAAAAUAUUCUUGGUAAAUAUAAUAAAAACAUGAUAUAAUCGAGAGAAAAGUGUUAGAGUUGCAUGGAAAUUAAUGUGAUCUCUUCACUCAGCAAAUGAAUUAUGUUUGUCAAUUGAUUUCAUGAUUUUUUUUUCUUUUACAACUUUUCUGAUUUCUGAUUUUUCUAGCAAUCUGAUUAUGCCUUUAAUUCUUGGUAUGAUAUGGAAACUCCGUAAAAAAUAUAUAUUUGGCUAAACUGAAGAUUUGCUUUGUGCGUGGUGUCUUUUACUCAACUUCAUUAAUUCAUAGUCAAUCACAAUUAUUUAUUGUCUUCGUGUACAGAAGUCUCAACCAAGGUUAAAUUGAACAAGAUACGAAACUUUCAGUGUUUAAAAACAUUCUCAUUCCAGCAUUUUAGUUGAUAAAAAUGUUAAUGAUUUUGAAAUUUAUUUCUUUUAAAAUGAUAUUAUUCAGUAGUUGUACGGAGAUAAU